CUGAGGGCUAGAUAUUUGCACAAAAUAGACCUCAAAGUAAAGAGAUGAUUUAUUUGUCUACACUUUCCCUGGGAGGAAGAUUCCAUAAUGUGCAAUGUCAGCUGGUACACACCAUCUUCCUGAAUCCCUUGCUUCAUCUCAUGGACCGUAGGACCUUCCAAAGCUUAGAGAUUAAAUGCUUUUUCAGUCUGCUAUUUCUUUCAUUCUGCUAGCCACUUGAAAAAUAACCUGAUUAGAACUGCAGACAAAAAAUAAAUAAAACAAACUAACUAAAUUAUGCUCACAGUAGAAGCUGUGGAAGUCAUUUGUUGACUAAUCAUAGCCAUUUCUGUGGUUUGUCUGUUUGUGUAAUUAUAAGAAUAUGUAGGUGUUUUGAACACAGAAGAUAAAAAUGAGCCUGUCUGGUUUUCCAGUUUUGAAUCUGAGAGAAGUAGGUUGGAAGUCAUUAAAAGUUAUUGUUUUUUUCCAUAUGUACAUCUGACCAAAAUGAUGAUCUAUUGGUUUUAGCAACUUUUCCAUAAAUCCCAUCUGACUCAUCCUCUCAUCUGAUAAAUGAGACAAUCCUGUGGAAGGAUGUCACGAGGACACAAGAACAAUUGUACUGGGUCAAAGAUACACCCAGUCCUGUAUCCUGUCUCUGACAGUGGCCAACACUAUCUCAGAAGAAAAGCAGCAAGAGCAGUUCCAGGAAAGCUGAUCUCUCCUGAAGUGUACCAGAAUUCCUGGAUGUCGCUGAGUGCAGAAGCCAGCAGAUGUCAAGAAGAAAGAAUAGCUUCAAGCCUUUAUGAAAAGGUCUGGACGCUAGCAGUGAUGGGAGCCAGACAAAAAAAAAAAAUAAAAAAAAAAGAGAGAGAGAGAGAGAACUUAUUAAAUUUCUAGAUCCAGCAGUUUAAAUCAGUUUAAAUAUCCAAUUUAUAUUAAAGCACUAGAAUCUUAAAUUUUGUGUAGCUGUUAUGUCACUCCUUUGCUUUGCUGUUUCCCCAGUCAGAGGUGAUAGACCUGCGUUAUCUCAGAUUAUCAUGGCAAUAUCUGAAGUAUUUUUUAUCUGGGAAGUGACUCACUGUUUUGCAAAUUUAUGAGACAUCAAAAUGAAUGCAUGCAUCAGCUAAGGACAAAGUGAUUUCAAAGAGCUUUUCUGUGCAGAGUGAACAGAAACAGGAUGACUGUUUUUUAACUCAGUGUUAGCUGAUAAACUCAAAUAUUUUACAAGCAUCUUUAAGAGAUACUGAAAAAUAUAGCUAUAUUUUCUCCCUUGCUUUUUCUUUUCUGUUAUGAAAACAGAAUUAUAGUACUUGUCUGCUCUAACUAAAGCUGAUCUAAAAAGAGAAAAAAAAACCACUAAGUUUCUCCUUCCAAAUCUUUAUGACUUUAUUUCAAAUUUUAAAAAUCUUCUAAAACAUACGAACACUUUCAAAACCAAACAUAAAUUCCAGAUGUUAUGUAGGCCUCCCAGAACUGAAUUAUCUACUGACCGUGUUUUGUAGAGACAGAUAACUACCUCUGCACUGGCAUGCAAUGAGCAGCCGUUCAGCAAUCGUAUUUAGGUCCCAAAAAUGUCUGGCAAAUCUUAGUAGCGACAUGAAAAAAAAAAGGAGGAAGAAGGCAAAAGUACAUGUCAAUAGCCAGGAGAUGAUGGGUCGAGACAGACACUAAGGUUUUACUAAAAAGCAAAAGCAGCUAUUUGUUCCAUGUUCACUGCUACUUGCUGGUUCUGGCUCAGCUGGAGCUUUGUGGACGACUCUCUCAGGACUUUCCUUAGCACAGCUAAAGUAAGGCAGAUGUCACCUGUUCAUCCACUUUUGAGGUGAAAACCAGAUACACAGUGAACUCUCUAGUCAUAUCUUGUGAGAGAGGUCAGGGUGCUGCAUGCACCUCUGGAACCCCUGUUUUGCUGGAAGCACGAGGCUGGAAGCUGUGUGCCACUUCUCACAUAGCAGGACCACUCUGGAUACAGCUUGUGUAAUGUCAUCUUGAAAGUCAGGGCUUUCCUAGGCACAGCCAUGGUGAGAUAGGUGCAGGCUUAAAAUGCUGUGGUGCUAUUGGCAUUAUGGCAACAAACUGGUAAGUGAGGAGCAGGAAGUACAGCUUGAAAGGUCUUGCAGAAGGCCUAUGUGCCAGUGCCAUGCCUUGUGUAUGGACAGAAACAAAACCCUGGAGUGCUAUCACUCAGCCCUUGGCAGGGAAUUUACAAGGAGGUGUAGAUGAGCUUUACCCAGACAUAAUUCAAACAUAAUAGCAGUAAGUAAUGCACAUACAAAAGAUAUCAGGGCUCAAAUUUAAAGACAGUUUUUCAGAAGUAUGAAAAACUUUUUAUAGAUAAUGUGGUAGAAAAGGCAAUGGGAAAAGAGACCAGGAAUGGGUCUUAUCUCCCUGUGCACACAGAUGGGCUUCUGUCAAAAUGCAGGCAUUGCACUCUGUGUGUAGUACAUCAAGGUACUCAAUUCCUUGGAUGUCUUGACUUUGCAUUUACAACCCUCUUUAAUUUCAUAGCAUAGGUGUUUAUAGGCAUAUAAUUAAAAAUAACACAUUAGAACAAUGAAUUAUAAUGGCACCUCAGUUUUCCCAGACCAUAUAAAUUAAUCACUUCUCAUCCUCCUCUGACCUUGUUUCAGUAAGUAGAUAGGAUAAAUUCAUUUGACAUUUACUCUUUGCCAGUUUCACUUCCUGAACAUCCUCUACAAAGCAGCAGAUUAAUUCUUCAGGGUUAAAGUGUGAUGUAGACAACACAGCUGUACAAGAGACUGAGAGGAUAAGAAACUCUCUUGCCACAUGCUCCACCAACCACCAAAAUAUCAGUAGCAAGAUCUAGCAAGCCGUCUUGCUGCCAGCCUGCAGCAGAUGGGGAAGGAGAUAACAGCUGAUUUCAGUUCUUUCCUUGGAGCAUCACAUCUUCAACAGAAAAUUGCUACUUUCCUCUCCGUGCCUUGUUUUGGGGUGGGGACAGGGUGGAAAAGGGGGCAGUGCCUUUGAAGGACUGCACAGAUCAUUGCUCAGAGCUUUCCCUAACCUCAGAACAAGCAUUGCGCACUUGAGCAUGACUUGAAUACACCUUAAAAGUAAGGAGAAAAAAAAAUAUGACAGUAGAGGCCUAAUAGAAACCAUUCUAACAGAAAUAAUAAUUGGAUGCCACUUUAAAACUGAUGAGACCCUAGUAAUACUCUUCAUUUUGUCUUUCUGAUAUUGCUUGGGAAAAGGACUGCAAUAUGUAAUAAACUAUUAACAAUACAGAAGAGAGAAAAAAAA
This 3243-nucleotide long non-coding RNA is filed under the name Anas platyrhynchos platyrhynchos (common mallard). RNAcentral describes it as "lncRNA (ENSAPLG00000028118.1)". Lineage: Eukaryota; Metazoa; Chordata; Aves; Anseriformes; Anatidae. The record is from RNAcentral.